Non-coding RNA from Myotis davidii, 75 nucleotides. NCBI's taxonomy places the organism in Eukaryota, Metazoa, Chordata, Mammalia, Chiroptera, Vespertilionidae. The record is from Rfam.
GGUGGUUCUUGGGUGAUGCACCCUGGAAUCAGGCUCCUUCCUCUCAGGGUCCGGGUGCGUCACCCAAGAAUCACA